RNAcentral lists this ribosomal RNA (429 nucleotides) under Chloroflexota bacterium. RNAcentral describes it as "Chloroflexi bacterium partial 16S ribosomal RNA". It matches the Rfam family "Bacterial small subunit ribosomal RNA", at positions 355 to 776 of the family's 1533-position model. Lineage: Bacteria; Bacillati; Chloroflexota. RNAcentral also lists the same sequence under 1 other name. The record is from RNAcentral.
UAGGGAAUCUUCGGCAAUGGACGAAAGUCUGACCGAGCAACGCCGCGUGAGUGAAGAAGGUUUUCGGAUCGUAAAACUCUGUUGUUAGAGAAGAACAAGGACGUUAGUAACUGAACGUCCCCUGACGGUAUCUAACCAGAAAGCCACGGCUAACUACGUGCCAGCAGCCGCGGUAAUACGUAGGUGGCAAGCGUUGUCCGGAUUUAUUGGGCGUAAAGCGAGCGCAGGCGGUUUCUUAAGUCUGAUGUGAAAGCCCCCGGCUCAACCGGGGAGGGUCAUUGGAAACUGGGAGACUUGAGUGCAGAAGAGGAGAGUGGAAUUCCAAGUGUAGCGGUGAAAUGCGUAGAUAUAUGGAGGAACACCAGUGGCGAAGGCGGCUCUCUGGUCUGUAACUGACGCUGAGGCUCGAAAGCGUGGGGAGCAAACAGG